Micropterus salmoides (largemouth bass) is the source of this 321-nucleotide long non-coding RNA. RefSeq lists it as uncharacterized. Lineage: Eukaryota; Metazoa; Chordata; Actinopteri; Centrarchiformes; Centrarchidae. The transcript is spliced from 4 exons. The record is from RefSeq and is a predicted model, not a curated record.
AUUAGUUUAAGCGCGCAUGCGCGAGAACACAGUUGAGACCGUUGAGAGCGCGGGUCUUUGGCUGAGGGGAGCCGCCGAGUCUACCACAAACACAGCUGAUGACUUACCUGCUCUGUAAAUAAGAUGAACUCUGAUCCUGUGGAGCUUCUUCUUCACUUGAAGAACAUUAGUUGGACCUGGUGGCGAGCGUGCAGUGCAUUCAUCAUCGUAGAACUCCAGCUCCAUAAGCUGAGACCAGACCGGGAUCUCCGGUCUGUCCAGGUUCUCCGACACGGACCUGGAAAGGACUUCCAGGGAUGUGAGAGCCGUUGAACUUGACGU